This is a long non-coding RNA of Oreochromis niloticus (Nile tilapia), 2471 nucleotides long. NCBI's taxonomy places the organism in Eukaryota, Metazoa, Chordata, Actinopteri, Cichliformes, Cichlidae. The record is from Ensembl.
GACUCAAAGAAACAGGCAGACAGUGACGGACGGUCAAAUAUCUUCUUAGCUUAAGAUGUCGACACAAACUCAAGGUGUCCAUGACUCCAGGGUGAAAUACAGCAGAGGGACCCAUGAGGAUGGAAGAGGAAGAGAGCAAAUCGAGGUGGAGAUGUUAGACGAUGGAGAGCAGAACCCUGCUGGUGGAUUACAAGAAGCUGAUGAACACACCCAGAGAAAGCUUCCAGCUGUGGACAGAAGCUGUUUCAGAGCGUUUGAAGUGACCCUGGGAGUGCUGUACUUGCUGACUCUGGCUGGAGUCAGGGAGUCAAGUACUUCUGAUAUGAGGCUCUAUUUUUCUGCUGGAGUAGCGUUCAGGUAGCUGCUCUGCUCUAUGUUGGUACAGGGCAUUGAAGAUGACAACAGUGGGUGGAUUAUAUUCUUAAACUUAGUUACAGCGCUUUCAGAAAGACAUCUACUGUGAUAAAGUCUACUCCCCACUGCUGUGUAAUCAAUUAUUGUAAAUGUAAAUGUUACCAGGAAAUGAUCAGACAGGAGAGGGUUUUCAGGAAACACUGUUAAAUGUUCUACAAAAGUUGAUUCUGUUCAUCUGGACGUAGUGUUUUGUGGGAGAAACGUUUCGUCAGUCAUCCAAGUGACUUCUUCGGUCUCAUCUGCAGUUUUCCCCAAUCUUAUAAACAGUAGACCUCCCAGCCCAUUGUUCCUUCAGUGGGCUGGUUUCAGUCAUUAUGUAAAUGUACUGUUUAUAAAAUUUGGGAAACCUGCAGUCAGCUGAGACCGAAGAAGCCAUUGGAUGAGUGACGAAACGUUUCUCCCACAAAACGCUACGUCCAGAUGAACAGAAUCAACUUUUGGAGAGUUACUUACCUGGAUGAUUGAGAAUGCAUCAAGACUGUUAAAUGUUCAGUUUCUAUGCCAUAUGUUAAAGCAAGAUCUAGAGUGUGAUUAAAGUGGUGGGUGGGUUCUUUUACAUUUUGAGAGAAGCCAAUUGAGUCUAAUAACAAAUUAAAUGUGAUGUUGAGGCUGUCAUUUUUAGCAUCUACAUGGAUGUUAAAAUCACCCACAAUAAUUAUUUUAUCUGAGCUGAGCACUAAAUCAGAUAAAAAGUCUGAGAAAUCAGAGAGAAUCUCUGUGUAAGGCCCAGGUGGACGAUAGAUGAUAACAAGUAAGACUGGUUUCUGAGUUUUACAGCUGGGGUGGACGAGGCUAAGCAUCAGGCUUUCAAAUGAAUUAAAAGUCUGUCUGGGUCUUUGGUUGAUUAAUAGGCUGGUGUGAAAAAUUGCUGCCACACCGCCCCCUCGGCCUGUGCUUCGAGGUUUCUGGUAGUUAGAAUGACUCGGGGGUGUUGAUUCAUUUAAACUAACAUACUCAUCCUGCUGCAACCAGGUUUCUGUAAGGCAGACUAAAUCGAUUUGUUGAUCAUUUAUUAAGUCAUGUACUAACAGAGACUUGGAGGAGAGAGACCUAAUAUUUAAUAAUCCACAUUUCACUGUUUUACUCUUUGGUUCAGAUGUGGAUACUGUGUUGUUCUUUCUUUGUGAUUUUUUAUGUUUAACUCUUUUUUUGAUGGUUUUUAGUUUGUUUUUUGUCUGUUUGGGAGCUGACACAUUGUCUAAGGUGAUGGUUCCAUAUUUCUAGAAAUGAGAGCUGCUCAAUCCAAAGUGGGAUGGAUGCCGUCUCUCCUAACAAGACCAGGUUUCCUCCAGAAGGUUUGCCAAUUAUCUAUGAAGCCCACAUUGUUUUUUGGACACCACUCAGACAGCCAGCAAUUGAAGGAGAACAUGCAGCUAAACAUGUCACUCCUGGUCUGAUUGAGAGCAGUGAUCUGGAACAACUUUACAACUCACAGCAACAACAGGUGAAGCAAAGCAGGAAGUCACUGAGAGGGGACGUAUGGAGGACCUGAAGAACCAAACAAACCGAAAACACGGCUGUCAUGGCCCUGGACUUUGUGGGUGAUCACAAAGAACAGGGCCUGCACCUCCUGCUGACAACAGGAGGUGUAUCACUCCUGUUUCCCACCUGGAGACAGCGUUUACACUGUACUCUGCCCUCGCACUUAACUAGGCAGGUAGAUAACCAUCACUUACAGAGUGUAAGUUGAGGCAGCCACAGGAGUCAAUAACUGUCCUUCCCCCGUUAGACAGGAAGCAGCGAGAGGUACCACUUCCAGUAGGAUGUCAGAAUAAAAUGGACAGUGUUAAAAUAUCUUAGAAACACAUGAGGAUUGUAUGAACCUAUAUAACACCACAUAAUAUAUGGGGCGACUCUUAAAGAGCCAAAACACACCUUGGUCUGCCUUUGGUGGCUUUUUGGCACCUGUGACACUCACUGCUGCCCUCACUGAAGCACAAAACAAAAUAACGACUAGACAACACACUAACUACACACUAAACAUCACAAAUCUCUCACAUCUCAAAACUCGCUGUCAAUAUCUCUCUCUCUCUCUCUCUCUCCAUUUUAUCUCGGCU